This 21-nucleotide unclassified non-coding RNA is filed under the name Chlamydomonas reinhardtii. RNAcentral describes it as "small RNA Cre_1994". The record is from RNAcentral. Lineage: Eukaryota; Viridiplantae; Chlorophyta; Chlorophyceae; Chlamydomonadales; Chlamydomonadaceae.
GGUUGAGGCACUUGGCGUUGU